RNAcentral lists this ribosomal RNA (164 nucleotides) under uncultured bacterium. RNAcentral's name for it is "partial 16S rRNA". It matches the Rfam family "Bacterial small subunit ribosomal RNA", at positions 354 to 510 of the family's 1533-position model. The record is from RNAcentral.
GUAGGGAAUCUUCCACAAUGGACGCAAGUCUGAUGGAGCAACGCCGCGUGAGUGAAGAAGGUUUUCGGAUCGUAAAGCUCUGUUGUUGGUGAAGAAGGAUAGAGGCAGUAACUGGUCUUUAUUUGACGGUAAUCAACCAGAAAGUCACGGCUAACUACGUGCAG